RNAcentral lists this long non-coding RNA (204 nucleotides) under Elaeis guineensis (African oil palm). RNAcentral describes it as "long non-coding RNA (EGUI_LNC048119)". The record is from RNAcentral. Lineage: Eukaryota; Viridiplantae; Streptophyta; Magnoliopsida; Arecales; Arecaceae.
GCCCUUGGAGACAUCAAUAAUUAGCAUUCAUCAAAUGCUUUUUAACAUACUUUAGAUUUUAGUAUUAGCUUCAAUAUAGAUCAUAGGACUUUUUUGUUAUGUUGGAUGAAAUUUUAUGAUAAUGUUGAUUUGCAAUUAGCGAUUAUGUAGCACAAUGUUUGUUGUCUAAACUGAUUAAAAAAAAUUAACUUACACCCUAGCUAC